UGUCAUAGUGCUUUGAGUUUUCUGACUCAGAUGAAUGCCAAAGGCCUUCUGCGCCUGUGUCAUAUCCUUAUGUCAGCAAAUGACUGGCAAUUUCUGUGUAGCCUGACAAACAUUUGAAAAAGCACAGUGUGAAAAUGCAUUUCAGAUGUCUCCUCCAAAUUUUUAUUACCAGACCUGAAAAUAAAACAGCUCCAAUGGCACCAACUACCGAAAAAUAAAAUGAACCAAAGUUACCACUCGCCCAGACUGGUGAUGAUCGCAGCUCCUCUCCCUCAUCACAGCUCUGCAGCUGUUUGUUGUCAGAGUGGAAAGUACAAGCCCUGGCAUUUCUCCUCUCUGCCGUACUCUGGAUGGUUGCUCAGCACAUCGAGGAACUGGGCAGAUUUUCAGAAGAAACCUAUCUGAUGUGCUGUCAGCCUCACUGUCUGUUAAGCCCAACAGCUAUCUACCUGGUGCCUUCCAGGGUCCAGUUCCUGUGUAUCUCAAACCCUGUAUGUAGGGAUCAAACAACACUGUACUCCUUAUCCAUAAGGAGAGAAAAAACACCGUUCCAUAUUUAAACCUGUUGGGCAUAUAAGACACAGAGACAUUUCUUGCCCUCCUCCAGGCAGCUCCCUAUGUAGCUGUGCUGAGAAGCAUACAGGUUACGCAGCAAGGGACUGCAGCAUGAAGUUAAGCUGCAAAAGGGAUGUGAACACAAAUUACCAUUAACAGCCAGUAGCAAUUACCUAUGUAUUACAGCUUGCAUAUAUACAUGAAAAUUCAUACUCCAGAUAUAUACCAAUAUGCAAGCAUGUAAGUUUGGGGAACACAUUUCAUCCUCUCUCACAUAACAGGAGGUAUUUUUGGUGCAGUUUUCUGAAAGCUAAGCAAAGGGUGUAAAGCAAAGAAGCUACAGAAGUUGGCAUUAUUUCCACUUAAUCAGUAAGAAAUCAUUACAGCUUUGCUAUGAAAAUGAAACAACUAUAGUCAUACAAGAUACAUCAUGACACAGAAAAAUUAGAAAACACUCUAAGCUCUGCACAGCAAGAUUUGUAAGCCUGCCAGCAGAAUCACAAACUCACACAGCUCUAAUUUGUCUAGGAAAAAAGGGGUGUUUAAUUGCUGUGCAUAAUAAACACGCAGACAUCAGAGAGCAGCCAUGGAUAACAUGCACAAGUAGAUUCCAGCUGUAUCGCUAAGGAAAUAUAAAAGUGAUUUAUUUUAUAUCUUGAUGCUAAAUCCAAUAAAUCACAUUAAAAUAAAAUGACCAAAUUUCCCUAAGUGCUCAGCACUCAGCAGCUCUUGCUGGCCUCACUACUGAGCUCUCUUGGAGAUGCAGUCAUUUCAUUUAGGUAUCUGCAGGGUAUGGUGCCAUGCAGCUUUACCUGAGCUGUGAUGGGCUCUGCAACGUUCAAUUAGCCCAUACAAAGCUGAGCACUAAUGUAGUCCUCGCACUCCUAGCACCUGAACUAGUUUAUUGAGAGCUAACUGGUCAGUCUUAUCUCCACUCCAUGUGCAAAUCCUCCAAGCAUCAGAUGAUUGCUUUCAAAAGCCUGUCCAGUUUGCAUUGCUUAAUUACAGCCUCUGGGGGUUAGCCCUUGUAUAAAUAUCUAGUCAGAAAUUCAUCUUUGUUCUGCUUCUAGCUACAGCCAGUAAAGAUCACCAGAUGCCUGAUGUGUACAUGAAUUGGAUUAUUAUAACAUUAUGUUUAUAUCUCAGAGUUUAUUUCUUUUCACCAAAGAGUGAGUUGAGAGAACACAAUAGAGCCAUCAUACCAGAAAGGAUAUGAACUAUGAAGUACCAUAAAUUUUGGUAUGGGAAGGUCACUAAUUAAUCUGCAACUACCCUAGCAUCCAUAUUCAUAUUCUUUUCUCUAGAUGAUUUUUUUUAUUGAUAGCUGGAGAGGAAAAGACAUGUUCAUGAAAACAAGGGAGGCAAGGAAGAAUUUUUCUUUAGCUGGGGUGCUCCCCAAGUCACAAUUUAGCCUACUGCAACUGUCUGCCUCAGUGAACUCUUUAGGGUUUCUUGUAUGCAAAGCAAGUUACUAUCUACUUUGCAAGCAAUUUUUUUUUUCUCUAAUCAUUUAACUUUACUUGCCUGAAGUUGUCUAAGACUUUAUUGAGUUUAAUUCAGAAUUUACAAAUCUUGUCAAGGUGUUGAUAUUUUCUCCUUGACAAAGACAAAUUUUAAUUUAAUAAUCAGUUCUUUUUUACCUUGCCUUCUCUGCUAUAUUGGCUGUAAGACAAAAACAAAAAGUUUUCAUUCCCAUACUGAGCUUACAAAUCACUAUCAAUGUCUUGAGCAGUAGAUGACAAACCGCUGUUACAGAGUUUUCUUUGAAGCUUUAGACACCUCUGGAUUUAUCACUUGUCACAGAAAUCUGAACAUUCUCACUAUCUGCAAAUACCCUUUCUUUACUUCAGAGGAUUUCUUACAGUAAAGUCAACGCAAAAAUUCUGUCUGCAAUUCCCAUAAAAGUAAUAGGGCAAUCAAUAAAGUUGAUUUUCAUGUGAUUGUUUUUUAUACUUCUUUAAAGAAUAGGAUUUAUGUGAGAAUUGGACUAGUGUUUACCUGAUUCAGGAAGGAAAUUGCUGACUUGCAAGGUCUCUU
Long non-coding RNA from Oxyura jamaicensis (ruddy duck), 2592 nucleotides. RefSeq lists it as uncharacterized. NCBI's taxonomy places the organism in Eukaryota, Metazoa, Chordata, Aves, Anseriformes, Anatidae. The record is from RefSeq and is a predicted model, not a curated record. The transcript has 2 exons.